GUUUGGGUAAUUAGCAACGAAAACAUAAAUAACUAAAGACCUGUGUAAAAGCGUAAUAAAAGUAGCUCCAAAAGAAUCAGGGAUACGGAAAUGCAUAUUUGUAAUUGUAAUGCAUUGUCAUGCAUUACAUUUGUCCACGUAAUUGCAUGUAAUCAAUAUUUUCACCAUUUUGAAACUUGAUAAUCAAUUAAGCUUUGUAAUUACUAUAUAAUUAGAAAUGAGAUUCUCAGUGAAUAAAUUGAAAUUAAAAAAACAAAAAGUAUAUUUGUAUAAGUGAAGUUAACAUUAGUUAAAAUAAAUAUUAAACUCCAUCUCUGUAAUUUUUAAAAGAAAACACAGAGAUGUCCAUACCUAGAAAAUGGAGUCAUGUGCAUGAAGAAUACAACCUUUGAAACCCUUAUGAUGAUAACAUGCAAUUAUAGUAUAUCAUUGACUUUUUACUAAUACACUUAGAUUCAAUCCAUUGAACAAUGACUGGGUAUGCUUGAAUCUU
This 493-nucleotide long non-coding RNA is filed under the name Mytilus galloprovincialis (Mediterranean mussel). Lineage: Eukaryota; Metazoa; Mollusca; Bivalvia; Mytilida; Mytilidae. The record is from RNAcentral.